Molecule: ribosomal RNA, 229 nt
Filed under: uncultured bacterium
Lineage: Bacteria
Description: partial 16S ribosomal RNA
Rfam family: Bacterial small subunit ribosomal RNA
Source: RNAcentral
UGCGCAGGCGGGCAUUUAAGUCAGUAGUGAAAUCUCGAAGCUCAACUUCGAACGUGCUAUUGAAACUGUAGAGCUUGAGUACAGACGAGGCAGGCGGAAUGUGUUGUGUAGCGGUGAAAUGCUUAGAUAUAACACAGAACACCGAUAGCGAAGGCAGCUUGCCAGACUGUAACUGACGCUGAGGCACGAAAGCGUGGGGAGCGAACAGGAUUAGAUACCCUGGUAGUCC